Long non-coding RNA from Magnolia sinica, 1733 nucleotides. RefSeq lists it as uncharacterized. The transcript is spliced from 4 exons. The record is from RefSeq and is a predicted model, not a curated record. Lineage: Eukaryota; Viridiplantae; Streptophyta; Magnoliopsida; Magnoliales; Magnoliaceae.
UUUUUUAAACCCUACCUACCCACCGCUCCCGACCUGCACCCGAACCCUAAAAUCCCUCAAACCCCUCUUGUCAGUCAUCCCUACCCGAACGCCGGCGACUUGCAAUCCUCAUCCGGCCAUUCACAAUCGUUCAUCAGGUUGAAGCAGAGGAACAAACUGAGAUUUCAGAGUCGUAUUUGGUUUCAACAGUCCCUUAUUUCGCCUUUUGUAAGGUCAGUUCGGUCACAUUCGGUGAGUCUAUCGCACACGAUUAUUCAUUUACUGGACGGUAAUCUCAACUUACACUACCACUGAUGAAGAUUAUAUAAUUGAUUUAAGGAAUUUGAAAGAAGCAUUAAACCUGAUAAUGCCCUAAGUAGACCAUGGGACUGGUUUGUUGAUUAUUUUACUAAUUUUUGCAUGUGUGAUGAGAACAUGGAUUCAGGCAGAUAACUACCUCAGUACAGGCUGCUACAAUCUCAGUUCAGUGUGCUGGUUUUGUGCAAACAAGUAAUGAGAUGGCUCUUGGCACCGUUGUAAUACUCAUUUCCAUCUAUGGUGGGAAACAAUUCUCCCUAUCCAUUCACAUAUACAACUAUUAAGGUCCAACCUGUGGACAACUUCCAACCUUUCAUGUAUAUAUGACAUCGAACAAAUCCAAUAGGUUGGCCCAAUCAUAAGUCAACUUUUGAAAAAUUCAGCAACUGCCACUUAUUGAGUGGACCAAACUCGUGUUUUCCUUUUACCAAUGGCUGGACAUUAGUUUUUUUUUUUUUUUUUGGGUGGACCACUUCAUGAGUAUAUAGGGCUGACCUUUGGUACUUUGCACAAGGAAAUCCUCAUGGUGGAGCCAACCUUUCGGUUGGACUUGAGAUUUCAUACAUAUACUGCUACAAGUGUUGAUAACCAUGUGAUAGCACCGGCCACUUUUCUAAUAAAAGUGUUUUUUGGAAAACAAAAAAGGAAAAAGAAAAAAGAAGAAGCUGAACCAUGUCUGCUAUCCUGGGUACCAUUUUUCACAUUUAUUUGGUGGGUUGUUUACAGGAAGGAGUUCGGCAGCUUGUACUAGGCCUAUACAUCAUAAGGGGUGAUAACUUAAGUGUUGUUGGAGAGUUGAUGAAGAGCUCAACUCAAAUCCAAACUUGUCGGACCUUCGAGCACACCCCCUCAAGCCCGUAAUACACUGAUUAGCAGAGUGGCAGAGCUUCUUGUCGCUGCCGUCAGUGUAUGACCAUGUCUGGCUUAGAUUCCUUUAGUUGAGUUGUGUUUAGAUGUGCUAUUGAAUUGAACUGCAAUAAUUAGUUCAAUAAAGUGGAAAUGAUCAAAUCACAUAUACACUACUAAUUGUACUGAUGGGUGAGGCUCAAGUUGCUAUUAUGUCACUUUCAAGUUGAAUACAAGGAUUUAAGUGCAAUCUGAGGCCACUUUCUCAUUACCAAAACUACAAUUUGUUCAUUUCCUCUAUAGAAGUAAUUAUUGCAAUUUAAUUCACUGGUGCAUCCAAUGCAGUGCUAAUCUGUGUAAGAAACGUUUAUUGAAGCUUCUCAUGUGUGCAGUCUCUGGUGAUAUGGAUUUGGGCACUAGUGACACAAGUAUAACACAAGUAUCAUGUGGACCACCCCCUGUAUCUUUAUUCCAUAUCUGUUUGUUUGUGGUUUUUUUUUUUUGGGGAUGAAUUUCAAUUUUCUUUUUUCCUCCUUGGGUGUAUAUAUGUUGCCGUUAAGGCAGAUUGGAAUCAGGAUAUCAGCUUAACA